UCCAGACUCCUACGGGAGGCAGCAGUGGGGAAUAUUGCACAAUGGGGGAAACCCUGAUGCAGCGACGCCGCGUGUAGGAAGACGGUCCUCUGGAUUGUAAACUACUGUCCCCAGGGACGAAGAUGACGGUACCUGGGGAGGAAGCUCCGGCUAACUACGUGCCAGCAGCCGCGGUAAUACGUAGGGAGCGAGCGUUGUCCGGAAUUACUGGGUGUAAAGGGAGCGUAGGCGGGGAUGCAAGUUGGGUGUUAAAUCUACCGGCUCAACUGGUAGUCGCACUCAAAACUGCAGCUCUUGAGUGAAGUAGAGGCAGGCGGAAUUCCUAGUGUAGCGGUGAAAUGCUUAGAUAUCACGAAGAACCCCGAUUGCGAAGGCAGCCUGCCGCAGCGUUACUGACGCUGAAGCUCGAAAGCGCGGGUAUCGAACAGGAUUAGAUACCCUAGUA
RNAcentral lists this ribosomal RNA (445 nucleotides) under uncultured bacterium. RNAcentral describes it as "bacterial SSU rRNA". It matches the Rfam family "Bacterial small subunit ribosomal RNA", at positions 330 to 792 of the family's 1533-position model. The record is from RNAcentral.